This 253-nucleotide ribosomal RNA is filed under the name uncultured bacterium. Its description in RNAcentral is "partial 16S ribosomal RNA". It matches the Rfam family "Bacterial small subunit ribosomal RNA", at positions 524 to 776 of the family's 1533-position model. The record is from RNAcentral.
UACAGAGGGGGCAAGCGUUGUUCGGAAUUACUGGGCGUAAAGGGCGCGUAGGCGGCCCGCUAAGUCGAACGUGAAAUCCCCGGGCUCAACCCGGGAACUGCGUCCGAUACUGGUGGGCUCGAAUCCGGGAGAGGGAUGUGGAAUUCCAGGUGUAGCGGUGAAAUGCGUAGAUAUCUGGAGGAACACCGGUGGCGAAGGCGGCAUCCUGGACCGGUAUUGACGCUGAGGCGCGAAAGCCAGGGGAGCAAACGGG